This is a long non-coding RNA of Neogale vison (American mink), 484 nucleotides long. RefSeq lists it as uncharacterized. Lineage: Eukaryota; Metazoa; Chordata; Mammalia; Carnivora; Mustelidae. The record is from RefSeq and is a predicted model, not a curated record. The transcript has 4 exons.
GAAGCUUUGAGGUGGAGACAGUCUACGAGGGGAGAGGAGAAAGAAGGAGUGGCAGCAGCAGAAACAGUGAAGAAGAGGCAGAGAGCUAGACAAAACAGGGAGACAGAUUUCAGGGCAGCAGAGAGGAGACUUUGCAAGCAGGAUUUAAUUUCCCAAGGGUGACUCCUACACAUAUAAAUUGUGAAGACUACAAACAAGCCCCCGUGAUCAUCUGCUCCUUUGUUCAGCUCAUCAUCCUACCAGAUCAGGCUGAUGAGUAAAACCGAGGCACCAAGGGAUUAAGUGAUUUGUCCAGAGCCACACAAUGACAGAGCUAUGAUCAGAACCGAGCACUCUGGAUCCCAAGGCUUUUAUCUACAAUGUGAAGGUGGUCCAUUCUAUUUCUGGGAUAUUCUAAUUCAGCUCGGGCAACGCCAGGAGUGUUUCUGCAGAGAUGUCUUUAUCGAGGACUCCGAAGACAAGAGGAGGCAAGGACGUGAAGAAG